This 1479-nucleotide long non-coding RNA is filed under the name Cricetulus griseus (Chinese hamster). RNAcentral describes it as "lncRNA (ENSCGRG00000025128.1)". Lineage: Eukaryota; Metazoa; Chordata; Mammalia; Rodentia; Cricetidae. The record is from RNAcentral.
AUGAUGCUUCCUAACUGUCCUCCACACCAUCCGCUCAGCUCAGUUUUUCAUGCUGCACUCUGCUCUGUGUACUUGGGACAACAGCUGUUUGCAUAUCACCAUGUAACAUAUACUUGUGUUGUUCUAAGCAUCCAUAUUUUGCUAUCUUUUGUGACCUUGAGAAUGAUUGUACAGACAAGUGUUAUUGUUGUCCACCUGUCCCAAGUGAGGUAUACAACUUAACACCUUGUCCAGUCACAUAUUGUUAACAAGUGAUAGAGACAGAUUCAGAUCUGAACACCCAGAUAUUAUACCUUACAACACUGUGAAAUUCUGCCUCCCAUAGGGUAACAGUUCAAAUAGGAAUGAUGAUAUUCUAAAGACACACCUGUGUCCUUAACACACCCCGGCUAUUGAAUUGUUGAAAUAACAGUCCCCAGGAAACAUGAAUUUCUCUGGGGAAUCUUGUAUUGGGAGAAGGCAAAGAUUAAAGCUUGGUAUCAGCCAGAAAAGGAGCUUGGCUCCCAGAAAAAGAUUUCACACAACUCAGACAAUUUGUCAGGAUGAGACCAGAAUAAAUGAAGGAAAUCAUGGGGCCAUGAGAAAGAAAAGGAGUCCCUCAUCUUGGGAGCUGGCUGAAGCCUUUCAUCAGCAAAGAAGCCAAAAUUCUAGCAUGACUAACAGCUGCUGUGGUCCUUUCUCUCUUCCAGCUGCAAGCCUACAGUUUUCCAGGAAUUUCACCCAGAAAUCCCAUGUACAGCCACGAACCCUGAACUGGCCUGAAUCGAGGUCCCUAAAGGAUGAAGAAAACUCAUCAGGCUGUCAAGAGUGACUUUGGGGUAACCUGAAUCCAUCUUUGAGUUCCAUCUGUUGCAGAUUUGGAAAUAUGGAAGGUGUUUGGGGAAACGCCGAAGAGCAUGUGUCUUGGAACAGCAGAGUCCUCCUUGCUCAUAGCCUCUCUGGGAUCACCCUAUUUUCCUCCCAGCAUCCUUUGCAUCUUCUACAGCUGUUUUCUAUUUAAUCUGGUGUUUGCCAUUGUUGUCCACAGAAUGGUUUGCCAACACAAGCUGUUCCCCUAUUGGAGGCUGGAACCUGUGAUUUAAUUCAAAAGACAGAUGGAGCUCAGACUCUACAUCAGAGUCUUAACUGAGACCAUCUGGGUGUGCAUCCCUGCCUGCCAUGCUUGGCUCUGAGGUCCUGGCCACUCUUUCUUAAUUCUGAUAUCCUCAGCUGCAAAAUAGAGGGAUGGUUAUCUGGAAGACACAAAAGUCUCCCCGAAGAUGGAGUAAAUGGGUGCAUGUGCAUCUCCUAGGGUACAUCUCCUAGGAUGGCAGUGCUGCAUUGGUGACUAACUCCUGCCCAUCACCAUCCCUGGGGCAAGCUCUUCUUUUCUACUACAAACAAAAAACAACAGCAAAGCCUGUCUCUGUCUUUACCUGCUCUUCUAACUGAAUUCUGGAACAAGAGACUGGUUAAUUAUCACAUUAAAGUUAUUCCUAU